AUGAAAGCUCCGUGAUCAACCCGGGGAGGUGCGCGAGAAACUGGGGAGGCUCGAGCGGAGGAGGGGAGAGCGGAAUUCAUGGUGUAGCGGUGAAAUGCGUGGAUAUCAGGUGGGAACACCCGAGGCGAAGGGGGCUCUCUGGAAUCGUUCUGAUGCUGAGGGCGGAAAUCCGGGGGAGCAAACAGGCUAAGAUACCCCGGGUAGUCCCGCUCCAUAUACGGGUGCACACUGGGCGUGAGGUGGUAUCCACCCCCCCCCCGUCCGCAGCUAACGUGUUAAGUGUGCCGCCUGGGGAGUACGGCCGCAAGGCUAAAACUCAAAGAAAUUGACGGGGGCCCGCACAAGCGGAGGAGCAUGUGGCUUAAUUCGAUGCAACGCGAAGAACCUUACCCGGGUUUGACAUGUGACUGCACGUCCCGUGAAAGCGGGAUUCCUUCGAGGGUGUCACACAGGUGCUGCAUGGCUGUCGUCAGUUCGUGCCGUGAGGUGUUUGGUUAAGUCCAGCAACGAACGCAACCCCUGUGGCCAGUUGCCAGCGCGUAAUGGCGGGAACUCUGGCCAGACUGCCUGUUUACACAGGAGGAAGGUGGGGACGACGUCAAGUCAGUAUGGCCCUUACAUGGCGGGGCUGCACACGUGCUACAAUGGCCGGUACAAAGGGACGCAAGACCGCGAGGUGGAGCAAACCCCCAGAGCCGGCCCCAGUUCAGAUUGCGGUCUGCAACCCGACCGCACGAAGUAGGAUUCGCUAGUAACGGCGCAUCAGCUACGGCGCCGUGAAUACGUUCCCGGGCGUUGUCCACACCGCCCGUCACAUCAUGAAAGCCGUCUGCACCCGAAGCCGCCGUCCGAACCCGCAAGGGGCGUUGGCGU
RNAcentral lists this ribosomal RNA (873 nucleotides) under uncultured bacterium. Its description in RNAcentral is "bacterial SSU rRNA". It matches the Rfam family "Bacterial small subunit ribosomal RNA", at positions 594 to 1456 of the family's 1533-position model. The record is from RNAcentral.